ACGCUCGACACCUACGGGAGGUAGCAGUGGGGAAUAUUGCACAAUGGGGGAAACCCUGAUGCAGCAACGCCGCGUGAAGGAAGACGGUUUUCGGAUUGUAAACUUCUGUUCUUAGUGAAGAUAGUGACGGUAGCUAAGGAGCAAGCCACGGCUAACUACGUGCCGGCAGCCGCGGUAAUCUGAGCGGGCUGGCAAGGC
RNAcentral lists this ribosomal RNA (198 nucleotides) under uncultured bacterium. Its description in RNAcentral is "partial 16S ribosomal RNA". It matches the Rfam family "Bacterial small subunit ribosomal RNA", at positions 328 to 539 of the family's 1533-position model. The record is from RNAcentral.